Molecule: transfer RNA, 96 nt
Organism: Cajanus cajan (pigeon pea)
Lineage: Eukaryota; Viridiplantae; Streptophyta; Magnoliopsida; Fabales; Fabaceae
Rfam family: tRNA
About the family: Transfer RNA (tRNA) molecules are approximately 80 nucleotides in length.
Source: Rfam
CCGACCUUAGCUCAGUUGGUAGAGCGGAGGACUGUAGUGGGUAAUAAUCACCUUAUAGCCAUCCUUAGGUCGCUGGUUCGAAUCCGGCAGGUCGGA